RNAcentral lists this ribosomal RNA (279 nucleotides) under uncultured bacterium. RNAcentral's name for it is "partial 16S ribosomal RNA". It matches the Rfam family "Bacterial small subunit ribosomal RNA", at positions 506 to 784 of the family's 1533-position model. The record is from RNAcentral.
UGCCAGCCGCCGCGGUAAUACGGGGGGUGCUAGCGUUAUUCGGAUUUACUGGGCGUAAAGGGCGCGCAGGCGGUUUCUUAAGUCAGAUGUGAAAGCCCGGGGCUCAACCCCGGAAGUGCAUUUGAAACUAAGGAACUUGAGUAUGGGAGAGGGAAGUGGAAUUCCUGGUGUAGCGGUGAAAUGCGUAGAUAUCAGGAGGAACACCGGUGGCGAAGGCGACUUCCUGGACCAAUACUGACGCUGAGGCGCGAAGGCGUGGGGAGCAAACAGGAUUAGAUA